CGGACCAAGGAGUAUAACAUGUGUGCGAGUCAAUGGGUCUCGAUUAAGCCCAGAGGCGCAAUGAAAGCGAAGGCCGGAGGACUCCGGUCGUGUCGGGAUCCCCGUUCCUCUGCGUUCGGGGCGCACCGACGACCCGCCCCUAUCCGCUCGCGGGUGAGGCGGAGUCUGAGCGCACACGUUGUGACCCGAAAGGUGGUGAUCUAUGCCCGGACAGGACGAGGCCAGAGGAAACUCUGGUGGAGGUCCGUAGCGAUUCUGACGUGCAAAUCGAUCGUCAGAUCUGGGUCUAGGGGCGUAAGACUAAUCGAACCAUCUAGUAGCUGGUUCCCUCCGAAGUUUCCCUCAGGAUAGCUGGCGCUCGUUUGAAUUCAGUCUCAUCCGGUAAAGCGAAUGAUUAGAGGCCUUGGGGCCGAAACGACCUCAACCUAUUCUCAAACUUUAAAUGGGUGAGCAGUCCGCCUUGCAUGACUGAAGGCCGGACGUCUCAGGAUGAGAGUGCCCAGUGGGCCACUUUUGGUAAGCAGAACUGGCGCUGUGGGAUGAACCAAACGCCGGGUUAAGGCGUCCGAUGCGAGACGCUCAUGAGACCCCAUGAAAGGUGUUGGUUGCUCUAGACAGUCGGACGAUGGCCAUGGAAGUCGGAAUUCGCUAAGGAGUGUGUAACAACUCACCGACCGAAGCAACUAGCCCUGAAAAUGGAUGACGCUCCAGCGUCGAGCCUAUACCCGGCCGCUGCGGCAGAGCUCCAUUUAUGGAGGGUUACGCCGCAGUGAGUAGGAGGGUCGCGGUGGCGAGCGUUGAAGGUGCCGGGCGUGAGCCCGCCUGGAGCCGCCACCGGUGCAGAUCUUGGUGGUAGUAGCAAAUACUCAAGUGAGAACCUUGAGGACUGAAGUUGGAGAAGGGUUCCAUGUGAACAGCAGUUGAACAUGGGUCAGUCGGCCCUAAGGGAUCGGAGAAAUCCGUUCCGAAGCGAGACGUUGACCAUUUGUAUUUACAAUACACGUGACGUGUGUUUGUCUCGCUGCCGACCGAAAGGGAAUGGGGUCAAUAUUCCCCAACCCGGACAAGGAGAUAGGUCCCUCGGGACCGAGUGCGGCGACGCAACCGAACUCGGAGACGUCGACGGAGGACCCGGGGAAGAGUUGUCUUUUCUUUGUAAGAGUUCGUGUCCCUGGAAUCGGCUCGUCCGGAGAUAGGGACGCUGUUCUCGUAAAAGCACCGCGGCUCUUGCGGUGUCCGGUGCGCCUCUGUCGGCCCUUGCAAAUCCGAGGGAGAGAGUGUGAUUUUCUUGCCGGUCCGUACCCAUAUCCGCAGC
RNAcentral lists this ribosomal RNA (1315 nucleotides) under Mughiphantes sp. LB-2014a. RNAcentral's name for it is "eukaryotic LSU rRNA". It matches the Rfam family "Eukaryotic large subunit ribosomal RNA", at positions 662 to 1860 of the family's 3401-position model. Lineage: Eukaryota; Metazoa; Arthropoda; Arachnida; Araneae; Linyphiidae. The record is from RNAcentral.